This 1062-nucleotide ribosomal RNA is filed under the name human gut metagenome. RNAcentral's name for it is "bacterial SSU rRNA". It matches the Rfam family "Bacterial small subunit ribosomal RNA", at positions 17 to 1088 of the family's 1533-position model. The record is from RNAcentral.
UUCCUGCUCAGGAAUGACCGCGGGCGGCGUGCUUAACACUGCAAAGUCGANCGGGAUCCACCGGGGUUUUGCUGGUGGUGAGAGUGCGAAACGGGUGAGUAAUGCGUGACCGACCUGCCCCCAUACACNGGNAUAGCUCUGGAAACGGGUGGUAAUGCCGGAUGCUCCAGUGNAUCGCAUGUUCUUCUGGGAAAGCUUUCGCGGUAUGGGAUGGGGUCGCGUCCUAUCAGCUUGACGGCGGGGUAACGGCCCACCGUGGCUUCGACGGGUAGCCGGCCUGAGAGGGCGACCGGCCACAUUGGGACUGAGAUACGGCCCAGACUCCUACGGGAGGCAGCAGUGGGGAAUAUUGCACAAUGGGCGCAAGCCUGAUGCAGCGACGCCGCGUGAGGGAUGGAGGCCUUCGGGUUGUAAACCUCUUUUAUCGGGGAGCAAGCGAGAGUGAGUUUACCCGUUGAAUAAGCACCGGCUAACUACGUGCCAGCAGCCGCGGUAAUACGUAGGGUGCAAGCGUUAUCCGGAAUUAUUGGGCGUAAAGGGCUCGUAGGCGGUUCGUCGCGUCCGGUGUGAAAGUCCAUCGCUUAACGGUGGAUCCGCGCCGGGUACGGGCGGGCUGGAGUGCGGUAGGGGAGACUGGAAUUCCCGGUGUAACGGUGGAAUGUGUAGAUAUCGGGAAGAACACCAAUGGCGAAGGCAGGUCUCUGGGCCGUUACUGACGCUGAGGAGCGAAAGCGUGGGGAGCGAACAGGAUUAGAUACCCUGGUAGUCCACGCCGUAAACGGUGGAUGCUGGAUGUGGGGCCCGUUCCACGGGUUCCGUGUCGGAGCUAACGCGUUAAGCAUCCCGCCUGGGGAGUACGGCCGCAAGGCUAAAACUCAAAGAAAUUGACGGGGGCCCGCACAAGCGGCGGAGCAUGCGGAUUAAUUCGAUGCAACGCGAAGAACCUUACCUGGGCUUGACAUGUUCCCGACCGCUCCAGAGAUGGGGCUUCCCUUCGGGGCGGGUUCACAGGUGGUGCAUGGUCGUCGUCAGCUCGUGUCGUGAGAUGUUGGGUUAAGUCCC